This 253-nucleotide ribosomal RNA is filed under the name uncultured bacterium. Its description in RNAcentral is "partial 16S ribosomal RNA". It matches the Rfam family "Bacterial small subunit ribosomal RNA", at positions 524 to 776 of the family's 1533-position model. The record is from RNAcentral.
GACGAGCCUUGCUAACGUUAUUCGGAAUCACUGGGCUUAAAGGGUGCGUAGGCUGCGCAGAAAGUUGGGUGUGAAAUCCCUCGGCUUAACCGAGGAACUGCGCCCAAAACUACUGUGCUCGAGGGAGACAGAGGUGAGCGGAACUUAGGGUGGAGCGGUGAAAUGCGUUGAUAUCCUAAGGAACACCCGUGGCGAAAGCGGCUCACUGGGUCUCUUCUGACGCUGAGGCACGAAAGCUAGGGUAGCGAACGGG